GCAUCUAGAUUAGAGUUUGAUCCUGGCUCAGGUUGAACGCUGGCGGCAUGCUUUACACAUGCAAGUCGAACGGCAGCGCGGGGCAACCUGGCGGCGAGUGGCGAACGGGUGAGUAAUAUAUCGGAACGUACCCAAGAGUGGGGGAUAACGUAGCGAAAGUUACGCUAAUACCGCAUACGAUCCAAGGAUGAAAGCAGGGGACCGCAAGGCCUUGUGCUCCUGGAGCGGCCGAUAUCUGAUUAGCUAGUUGGUGAGGUAAUGGCUCACCAAGGCGACGAUCAGUAGCUGGUCUGAGAGGACGACCAGCCACACUGGAACUGAGACACGGUCCAGACUCCUACGGGAGGCAGCAGUGGGGAAUUUUGGACAAUGGGCGCAAGCCUGAUCCAGCAAUGCCGCGUGAGUGAAGAAGGCCUUCGGGUUGUAAAGCUCUUUUGUCAGGGAAGAAACGGCGCCGGCUAAUAUCCGGCGCUAAUGACGGUACCUGAAGAAUAAGCACCGGCUAACUACGUGCCAGCAGCCGCGGUAAUACGUAGGGUGCAAGCGUUAAUCGGAAUUACUGGGCGUAAAGCGUGCGCAGGCGGUUUUGUAAGUCUGUCGUGAAAUCCCCGGGCUUAACCUGGGAAUUGCGAUGGAGACUGCAAGGCUAGAAUCUGGCAGAGGGGGGUAGAAUUCCACGUGUAGCAGUGAAAUGCGUAGAGAUGUGGAGGAACACCGAUGGCGAAGGCAGCCCCCUGGGUCAAGAUUGACGCUCAUGCACGAAAGCGUGGGGAGCAAACAGGAUUAGAUACCCUGGUAGUCCACGCCCUAAACGAUGUCAACUAGUUGUCGGGUCUUAAUUGACUUGGUAACGCAGCUAACGCGUGAAGUUGACCGCCUGGGGAGUACGGUCGCAGAUUAAAACUCAAAGGAAUUGACGGGACCCGCACAGCGGUGGAUGAUGUGGAUUAUUCGAUGCAACGCGAAAAACU
Molecule: ribosomal RNA, 971 nt
Filed under: uncultured Oxalobacteraceae bacterium
Lineage: Bacteria; Pseudomonadati; Pseudomonadota; Betaproteobacteria; Burkholderiales; Oxalobacteraceae
Description: bacterial SSU rRNA
Rfam family: Bacterial small subunit ribosomal RNA
Source: RNAcentral